Long non-coding RNA from Macrobrachium nipponense, 920 nucleotides. RefSeq lists it as uncharacterized. The transcript has 7 exons. The record is from RefSeq and is a predicted model, not a curated record. NCBI's taxonomy places the organism in Eukaryota, Metazoa, Arthropoda, Malacostraca, Decapoda, Palaemonidae.
UCGGUAAACUUAGUGUUGUUAAUUGGAUAAUCAAUUUCAUCAUUUGUCAUGUUUUUGUCUAAUGAAAAUAGAACUCUAAUAUUUUUUUUAACAUUUUAUAUAGAAAUCCUGUAUCAGAGCAGCAAAUUAAUAUUUUUCUUUUGUUUCAGGAUGUACUGGAUCAUCUCUGCUGCUCAGAAGAAACAAACUGCUUGUCUAUGCAGUGCGGGUGUAUUACAAAUGUUUGCGAAAAAGUGGUGUCUGUAGAUAUUUAGGAAACUGUGCUGGAUUAUCUUGACUCGGAAGACUUAAAUACAGGGUUGAAGUUCUCGUUGCAGAUUUUGACAUGAAAUGGAGGAUGUACUGGAUCAUCAAUGCUGCUCAGAAGAAACAAAUUGCUUGUCUAUGCAGUGCGGGUGCAUUACAAAUGUUUGCGAAAAAGUGGCGUCUGUAGAUAUUUAGGAAACUGUACUGGAUUAUUUUGACUCUGAAGACCUAAAUACAGGGUUGAAGUUCUCGUUGCAGAUUUUGACAUGGAUUGGAGGAUGUACUGAAUCAUCUCUGCUGCUCAGAAGAAACAAACUUCUUGUCUAUGCAGUGCGGGUGUAUUACAAAUGUUUGCGAAAAAGUGGUGUCUGUAGAUAUUUAGGAAACUGUGCUGGAUUACCUUGACUCGGAAGACUUAAAUACAGGGUUGAAGUUCUCGUUGCAGAUUUUGACAUGGAUUGGAGUUAAGCAGUGCUGGUGAAUAGUGCAAUAGUGCGAAGCAGUGAUGAAGUGAAAACAAUAGUAUGGCACUAAGCCGUGAUUGUGAAGAGUGCAGUAAGCAGCACGGGUGAAGUGAGUGAAAUAGUACAGCACUAAGCAGUACUCGUCAAGUGAGUGCAAUAGUACAGCACUAAGCAGCACGGUUGAAGUGAGUGCAAUAGGAUGGCGCUAAU